Molecule: small nucleolar RNA, 106 nt
Organism: Abrus precatorius (Indian licorice)
Lineage: Eukaryota; Viridiplantae; Streptophyta; Magnoliopsida; Fabales; Fabaceae
Source: RefSeq, a predicted model, not a curated record
AACCCAUGGUUAGGACAUUUUCUGAGUAAAGACUUGAACCUCUCUCAGGCCUCACAAAAUGGUUCAUCUAUGCCUUGCCUGAAAGUAGUAAUCUCUUAUUUUGCCU